Long non-coding RNA from Xenopus laevis (African clawed frog), 1876 nucleotides. RefSeq lists it as uncharacterized. NCBI's taxonomy places the organism in Eukaryota, Metazoa, Chordata, Amphibia, Anura, Pipidae. The transcript is spliced from 2 exons. The record is from RefSeq and is a predicted model, not a curated record.
AGCAGAGGGGGGAGGGGAAGAAAAGCAUAAUCUGGUUUCAUUUACACCUAUUUACAUGGACACCUUGGGCCAAUAGAAAUCAUUUCCAUUUGAAGACAAGGCAAAGGGUGAAAAGGCUCAGCAACCGGAAUUGAAGUGUGAUGGAACCCAGUAACUGUGUGUGAAGUUCAGCACUGCAUUGCCACCCACAAAGCUGGUAAAAAAGAGUCCAUGUGAUUAUAACUAACCUCCAGUGAACCAAAGGAUGGCUAAUUCCUAGUGUCUAAAAGCAGCAUUGAUCCCUUUCCAAUGAAUGAUCUUCGCAUUCAGUAAAACCCAAGCACUUUCUAAAGGAAAAAGGUCACUUGCAAAACCUGUGAACAUGAAAGACUUUCAGAAACAAUAUAGAAUUUUUUUCCCUCAAGUGUUAAAAUAAGAAUGGAUCAGCUUGGAGUAUUAAUUUAAACCUCUGGUCACACAGACUGACCAAUGCUCAGGCAAUGCAGAAUAGUAAUAUAAUCCGUUAUAUGACGAAAGUCCUUAUUAAUUCUGGAUGUAUACAGUAUAUCUGUUAUGUGUUUUUGCAAAUAUGUACUUUUUUUGAAGCAAUAACAAUAUGAAUUCACUUUUUCUGUUUUCUGUAAAUAUGCAUAAAUGUAAAACAAAAUGUUGACAUAUUUAUGGACAUGUGAGAGUAACGUUAAGGGGCAGAUUUAUCAAAAUGUGAGUUCAGAUUUUAAAUAAAUAUAAACUCACCCACGUUCUAUUUUUAUAAGGAUAUUUAUAAAUGGGUGAAAAGUAUAACUCACCGUUUUAUAAAUACACUUACAAAAAUUCCGGGGUGGGUGAGUUUUUAUUUAUUAAUAUCUAAACUCACAUUUUGAUAAAUCUGCCCCUACAAAAAAGUAUACAUUUUGGCAUAAAAUGUAUCAAUUACUUGUGAAAGUUGUAGGAUUUUAAAUAAGGAUAAAGAGAUAUAUGUUUGCUGCUGAUAUAUCUGCACUGGAAUUUACAACACAAUUUUAACAUUGCUGACUUUCACACAAUGAGCUAUGUAAAAAGUGCCAGAAAAACUAUAUUUGUGCACAGAAAUAAAUCAAUAAGUCUAUACAUUUUAUACCCUGAUACAAGCACUCAUUUUGCAUUGCACUAACGAUAAAAGUUAGAUAAGACUUGUACAUAAACUUUAUUUAUAAUGGCAGGACAAAAUACUCUCUCUCUCUAUCGCUCUCUCUCUCAAUGUCUUAUAAUUCCUUUUAAUUUUCUCUCUCUAUACAACUGUUUAACUGUAGGUGGAUAUCUGUACCUCCAAGCAACAUCUGUCAGUGGGGGAUGCAGAGCACUGUAGUUUACUUGCAUGUGUAUGAGCCACAGGACGACUAUAUCUACUUUAUGCACUGCAAACAUUCAGAAUAUUUUUUCACAGACUGAAAACUUACAUUGACUAAAGAAAAUAUGUUAUAGUUUAUUUAAAUGUAAAAUGAAAUGACUUUCCAGUGUACAAAUUGUUGACUUCUGUUCCUGAUCAAAGCUAUUCUCCAAUCACAGUUCUAGAGAAGAAGGAUAUCUUUCACUUGUUUAAUAUUUAAUUCUGGGAAUAUGUUCUUUAGAUCUGACUUUAGAAAGGAUUUCCCCUGUAGCAAUUCCCUUCUUUGUGUUGUCUCUCUGUAAGAUAUUACACAGGUCGGAUUUAAUCACUUGCCUAAAGUGAAGAUUCUGGCUCAGAUUUUUUUUCCUCUGAAGACAGAAAACCUUCAAAUAAUAGAAAUAUUUCAAAAAUGGACGUUUUUGAGUAUAUGCUGUAAAUCAGUGCUGUGCCAGUAUUUUGUAAAAUUAUGUAAUUAGGCUAAAAAAUCCUACAAACUUUCAGAUAAAAUGCCUGUAUAUGCAAAAGUAA